AGAGUUUGAUCCUGGCUCAGAUUGAACGCUGGCGGCAGGCCUAACACAUGCAAGUCGAACGGUAACAGGAAGCAGCUUGCUGCUUCGCUGACGAGUGGCGGACGGGUGAGUAAUGUCUGGGAAACUGCCUGAUGGAGGGGGAUAACUACUGGAAACGGUAGCUAAUACCGCAUAAUGUCGCAAGACCAAAGAGGGGGACCUUCGGGCCUCUUGCCAUCGGAUGUGCCCAGAUGGGAUUAGCUUGUUGGUGGGGUAACGGCUCACCAAGGCGACGAUCCCUAGCUGGUCUGAGAGGAUGACCAGCCACACUGGAACUGAGACACGGUCCAGACUCCUACGGGAGGCAGCAGUGGGGAAUAUUGCACAAUGGGCGCAAGCCUGAUGCAGCCAUGCCGCGUGUAUGAAGAAGGCCUUCGGGUUGUAAAGUACUUUCAGCGGGGAGGAAGGGAGUAAAGUUAAUACCUUUGCUCAUUGACGUUACCCGCAGAAGAAGCACCGGCUAACUCCGUGCCAGCAGCCGCGGU
This 524-nucleotide ribosomal RNA is filed under the name Escherichia coli. RNAcentral's name for it is "bacterial SSU rRNA". It matches the Rfam family "Bacterial small subunit ribosomal RNA", at positions 8 to 521 of the family's 1533-position model. Lineage: Bacteria; Pseudomonadati; Pseudomonadota; Gammaproteobacteria; Enterobacterales; Enterobacteriaceae. The record is from RNAcentral.